RNAcentral lists this ribosomal RNA (495 nucleotides) under uncultured bacterium. RNAcentral describes it as "partial 16S ribosomal RNA". It matches the Rfam family "Bacterial small subunit ribosomal RNA", at positions 28 to 507 of the family's 1533-position model. The record is from RNAcentral.
GACGAACGCUGGCGGCGUGCCUAAUACAUGCAAGUAGAACGCUGAAGGAGGAGCUUGCUUCUCUGGAUGAGUUGCGGACGGGUGAUUAACCCGUAGGUAACCUGCCUGGGAGCGUGGGGUAACGAUUGGAAACGUUAGCUAAUACCGCAUAAUAGUAUAUGUUGCAUGACAUUUGCUGCAAAGGUGCAAUUGCAUCACUACCAGAUGGACCUGCGGUGUAUUAGCUAGUUGGUGGGGUAACGGCUCAACAAGGCGGCGAUACAUAGGCGACUCGAGAAGGGGGUCGGGCACAAUGGGAAUGGGAACAGGGCCAGACUCCCACGGGAGGGAGCAGCAGGGAAACUUCGGAAAUGGACGGAAAGCUGACCGAACAAAGGCGCGGGAGAGAAGAAGGUCCUCGGAUCGGAAAGCUCUGUUGUAAGGGAAGAAAGAGCGUGCGAGUAGAAAGUGCACACUGUGACGGUACCUUACCAGAAAGGGACGGCUAACUACGUG